This 485-nucleotide ribosomal RNA is filed under the name uncultured bacterium. RNAcentral's name for it is "partial 16S ribosomal RNA". It matches the Rfam family "Bacterial small subunit ribosomal RNA", at positions 28 to 507 of the family's 1533-position model. The record is from RNAcentral.
GAUGAACGCUAGCGACAGGCUUAACACAUGCAAGUCGAGGGGCAGCACAGGUAGCAAUACCGGGUGGCGACCGGCGCACGGGUGAGUAACGCGUAUGCAACUUACCUAUCAGAGGGGGAUAACCCGGCGAAAGUCGGACUAAUACCGCAUGAAGCAGGGGUCCCGCAUGGGGAUAUUUGCUAAAGAUUCAUCGCUGAUAGAUAGGCAUGCGUUCCAUUAGGCAGUUGGCGGGGUAACGGCCCACCAAACCGACGAUGGAUAGGGGUUCUGAGAGGAAGGUCCCCCACAUUGGUACUGAGACACGGACCAAACGCCUACGGGAGGCAGCAGUGAGGAAUAGUGGUCAAUGGCCGAGAGGCUGAACCAGCCAAGUCGCGUGAGGGAUGAAGGUUCUAUGGAUCGUAAACCUCUUUUAUAAGGGAAUAAAGUGCGGGACGUGUCCCGUUUUGUAUGUACCUUAUGAAUAAGGAUCGGCUAACUCCGUG